UCUGUAAACUAUUACAUCGUCAACCCAAACAUCUCCUUGCAUUUUUAUUGGCAGAAUUGGGUACAAGUGGUUCUAUAGAUGGUAAUAACCAACUUGUAAUCAAAGGAAGAUUCCAACAGAAACAGAUAGAAAACGUCUUGAGAAGAUAUAUCAAGGAAUACGUCACUUGUCACACAUGCCGGUCACCCUACUCUAUUUCUCACAGUGUAAAACUUGUCAUUCUCGAUGCUCUGUUGCCAGUAUCAAAACUGGCUUCCAGGCUGUCACAGGCAAGCGAGCACAGCUCCUUGCCAAAGCUAACUAAUUUGCUAAUCACCAUUGAUUUUUCCAAAAUGUGGUGGAGAUUCGGCUGGACAGGUUACCAUCAGAGUGGAUGUACCAUUGAGUUAAAAACAAGAUAGAAACUGCCAAGUUCUUUGGCGAGUGAUUGUUCUGAAAUCCUUGCAAGAUACUGAUAUUCAAGCUGUUGACAUACUCGUUGCCUACUUUAACAACUGUCAGAGAAACGUGAUGGAGUAAGGAGGUGCUUUUUAAAAUCGUUCAUAGACUUCUAUAAAAUGCAAGAUAAAUUAAAGUUAUUAUAACAGUAA
Molecule: long non-coding RNA, 590 nt
Filed under: Rattus norvegicus (Norway rat)
Lineage: Eukaryota; Metazoa; Chordata; Mammalia; Rodentia; Muridae
Description: long non-coding RNA NONRATT025201
Source: RNAcentral